GAUGGACGCUAGCGGCAGGCCUAACACAUGCAAGUCGAGGGGUAGAAGGAGCUUGCUCCUUUGAGACCGGCGCACGGGUGCGUAACGCGUAUGCAAUCUACCUUGUACAGGGGAAUAGCCCAGAGAAAUUUGGAUUAAUGCCCCAUAGUAUAUAACCUUCGCAUGUUGGUUAUAUUAAAGUUCCAACGGUACAAGAUGAGCAUGCGUCCCAUUAGUUAGUUGGUAAGGUAACGGCUUACCAAGACGAUGAUGGGUAGGGGUCCUGAGAGGGAGAUCCCCCACACUGGUACUGAGACACGGACCAGACUCCUACGGGAGGCAGCAGUGAGGAAUAUUGGUCAAUGGUCGCAAGACUGAACCAGCCAUGCCGCGUGCAGGAAGACGGUCCUAUGGAUUGUAAACUGCUUUUAUACAGGAAGAAACCCUCCCACGUGUGGGAGCUUGACGGUACUGUAGGAAUAAGAAUCGGCUAACUCCGUG
Molecule: ribosomal RNA, 480 nt
Filed under: uncultured bacterium
Lineage: Bacteria
Description: partial 16S ribosomal RNA
Rfam family: Bacterial small subunit ribosomal RNA
Source: RNAcentral